UCUUAUCAAGAGUGGUGGAGGGAGCGGCCCUGUGAAGCCCGGCAACCGGCAUGGAUAUGCACGGUGCCAAAUCCAGCGGAAUGAAUAGUUCCGCAAAGAUGAGA
Molecule: non-coding RNA, 104 nt
Filed under: Bacillus testis
Lineage: Bacteria; Bacillati; Bacillota; Bacilli; Caryophanales; Bacillaceae
Description: SAM riboswitch (S box leader)
Rfam family: SAM riboswitch aptamer (S box leader)
About the family: The SAM riboswitch is found upstream of a number of genes which code for proteins involved in methionine or cysteine biosynthesis in Gram-positive bacteria.
Source: RNAcentral